UGACUGCGAUGAAGCGGGAGGUUGCUGACACACCCGGCCGCUUUGCCAUGGCGGUGUGCAGGAGAUUUCCGUGGAGAAUUGUCUUGAAAAAAGGCGA
Molecule: regulatory RNA element, 97 nt
Organism: Bhargavaea cecembensis DSE10
Lineage: Bacteria; Bacillati; Bacillota; Bacilli; Caryophanales; Caryophanaceae
Rfam family: S10-Clostridia ribosomal protein leader
Source: Rfam